Molecule: long non-coding RNA, 1854 nt
Organism: Gallus gallus (chicken)
Lineage: Eukaryota; Metazoa; Chordata; Aves; Galliformes; Phasianidae
Source: Ensembl
CGAUCACCAAUGAGAGGCCACCGGGGGUGGGACUAGAGCUGCUGCUGACCAAUGAGAGCCAGCAGGGGCGGGAUGGAACUGCCGAUCACCAAUUAGAGGCCACCGGGGGUGGGUCAGAGCUGCUGCUGUACCAAUGAGAGGCCAGCAAGGGCGGGAUGGAGCCUCUGCUGACCAAUGAGAGGCCGGCACGGGUGCUGCGCCGAGCUGGGAGCAAAGCGGACACCCCGAAAGCAUUGGCAGCGACUGGAAGGGGCUCCAAGAAGCAAAGAAUGGCGGCGAGGCGCUGCCGGGAGCACCAAAAAGGCGGUGAGGCUCUCCCUGAAGCACCACAGCAGUUUGUUCACCCACAGCACACACGCGUGUGUGGCCCAUCCCUGCGUGCAACCACAUGCACGCACACACAUGCAACCCCAUCCCGUUGCACAGCAGUUGUAGUUGCAGCUGACCUUCCAAGGCUGCAAUACGUGGUGGUGGGACAGCCUUGGGCUUCUGCGUUUGCAUUAAUCCCACGUUUCCCAUCUCUGCCUUGCAGCUCUGCUGGUGCUGGAAGUGGACGGUAUUGCAGUAUGAAUGAAGGAGCAGCUGCUGAUGGGAGGCAGGAAGUCCAGGCUCAUGAACGCUGAGACAUCUGCCACUACGGUAACAGAGGAGGCAGUAGUCAUGUUGGGAGGCAGUUGCAGAAGAAGAUGAGGAGUUCCCCAGCAGGAAGCCACAAACCCGGCAGGAACCUGCAGGGGAAUCGCAGCAUGUGUGGGUGCCCAGGAGGAAAUGCAGCCCCAGCGUCUGAGCAGCGCCUGGCCAUGGAGUGCUGCGGCCCAAGAACAGCGCUAUUCUGCCCUUGCCGAGAUGGCUUUCCAAGGAGGACUUGUCUGUGGUGGUCAAGGAGGUUAUUUGGGUUAUGUGGGCUCAUUGGGGUCUGUCCUCACAAAAACCAGAGGGCUGGCUCAUCCAAAAGCUUGGUGAUUGCUUGGAAGCCCAAACCCUUCUUGCCUCCAGUAACCCCAUUGGCCCCACUGACCCUUUUGACCCAGUGACCCCAGUGACCUCACAUGAAUCCCAUAUCCCCACUGACCCCAAUGAUCACAAUGAUCCCACAUGGCCCCAUUAACCCCAACGACCCCGCUUGAACCCACUGACCCCACCGUUCCUAAAGAUCCUGAUGAUACCCAUGACUCCAUAUGACCCCAACAACCCAUUAACCCCACUAGCCCCAUAGACCCCAUUAACCCCACAUGACCCCAUGGACCCCAAUGAACCCCAUUGACAUCACUGACCCCAUUAACCCAAAGGAGCCUUAUAGACCACAAUGACCCCAUUAACAGCAAUGACCCCCAUUGACCCCAAUAACCCCACUGACUCCAAUGACACGAAUAACCCCCAUUGACCCCAGUGACCCCCAUUGCCCCAUUGAUGCCAAUGACUCCCAUUGACCCCAUUGACCCCCACUGACCCCAGUGACACUCAUGACCCCAGUGAGCCCGUUGACUCAAACACCCCAUAGACCUCAAUGACCCCAUUGACUUCAAUGACCCCAUAGACCCUAAUGAACUGAAUGACCCCAAUCUGGAGGCAGCUUGGGGGAAACAUUUUCUGAGUCUGAUCAUGCAGCGCCUGAGCGAGAGGGUGACCCAGCCUGGCUACACAAUUAUCGUGUGUAUUUCUCUGUUCUGAUGCUUCACAGAACCCCAUUGGGUGAGCCUCCUGUUGGUUUCUUCAAAUUUGGUACCAAUCCUGGGGACCAAAACCACAGCCCGAAAGGCUGCAACCAGUCCAGGGGCUUAAAGCCACAGCCCCAGCUAGAGAGGCCAGAAGCAGGCAAGGGCCUAAGGCCACAGACACGGGCGGGGAGCCCAG